GUAUUGUAUGAAAGGAGAGAAGAUUAGCACUCCUCUUGAUAAGGAUGGAAGAGGUCCUAGUGGUCUUUACAACACAUAUACGAUUAAGGCAUUGCUAACCAUGUUUUUGA
Molecule: non-coding RNA, 110 nt
Filed under: Vombatus ursinus (common wombat)
Lineage: Eukaryota; Metazoa; Chordata; Mammalia; Diprotodontia; Vombatidae
Source: RNAcentral